RNAcentral lists this ribosomal RNA (468 nucleotides) under uncultured bacterium. RNAcentral's name for it is "partial 16S ribosomal RNA". It matches the Rfam family "Bacterial small subunit ribosomal RNA", at positions 28 to 507 of the family's 1533-position model. The record is from RNAcentral.
GACGAACGCUGCCGCGGGGCUUACCCCUGCCAGGCCAAACGGAAGGGCCCGGCUUUUUGGGGGGCCCGGAGGGCCAAACGGUGGGGUAACACGUGGUAAACUUGCCCUGGACUUGGGGUUACUUCAGGGAACCGGGGCCUAUAACGGAUAAGAGGCUCCUCCGCCAGGGUGGGGGUGGGAAGGUUUCGGCGGUUGGGGAUGGACCCGCGGCUUAUCAGCUUGUUGGUGGGGUAGUGGCUUACCAAGGCUUUGACGGGUAGCCGGCCUGAGAGGGUGACCGGCCACAUUGGGACUGAGAUACGGCCCAGACUCCUACGGGAGGCAGCAGUGGGGAAUAUUGCACAAUGGGCGGAAGCCUGAUGCAGCAACGCCGCGUGCGGGAUGACGGCCUUCGGGUUGUAAACCGCUUUCGCCUGUGACGAAGCGUGAGUGACGGUAAUGGGUAAAGAAGCACCGGCUAACUACGUG